UCGUUUGAAUUAUCGAGAGUAGUUUGAACUCUGAUUGUUUAACCAUGAGCUCAGUGCUUAUAACUUUUUGUAAUAAAUUAUUCCUGGGGUUUCUAUUAAAUUUUCAUCUAUUUCAUUGUCAUUCCGAUAUAGUCGUCAACUCUUCAAUCUCUAGCUACCAUUCGACUUCCCUCGUUUUUAUAAUCCCACUACCAAUUUCGAGUCGCGAUUUUUGGACCGAGCGACAUGCCGAAAUAUGCCGAUCGCUCAGACGUGUGUAUUGUUUGUACUCGUAUCAAACUAACGACCAGAUUGAGAACCCAGCUGUCUCAUAUCGAAGUCCAGUCUCAACAUUUCAACAAUUUCGAAGAAUGACAGUUAAUUUGCAGAAUUAUGCCCUCGCGGAAAUAUCGCACCACCUCCGACCUAUUUUUCACAAACACAAUCACUACGUUGGACAAUUCGAUGGCUGUUGUCCGGGUCAGUUCAACGUAUACUACAAAACAGGUUUCCUUCAUAUGGCGAUGACACCUAAAGAAUACGUGUUCCAUUUAACCGACUAUAGUGACGAAAACAAACAAUUGAACUAUAUCUGGUCUUUUUUCUACCCCAUCUGUCAAGUCAACAUCAUCGCCCGCCUGGGUUUUGGGAAAGGAGGGAUGCGCGUGUUGGGGCAUCAUCACAGAAAAGGAUACCCGUACCUAUUGAAGAUUGGCAAUCAAUGGACGGAGCGGAUUUCGUACAAUAACGUUGGUGCUUACUUGACCUUCAGCUGGUUCAAGAAGAAUGUUAUUUGCAUAGAGCAGGAAUGGAUCUGCAAUGGAACUAACCUGACUUUGAAUAGCUAAAGUAAUCCUUGCUUCGGGGCUGUAUAUUUAAGGCGAAAAAUAU
Symsagittifera roscoffensis is the source of this 870-nucleotide long non-coding RNA. RefSeq lists it as uncharacterized. The record is from RefSeq and is a predicted model, not a curated record. The transcript has 4 exons. NCBI's taxonomy places the organism in Eukaryota, Metazoa, Xenacoelomorpha, Acoela, Convolutidae.